Long non-coding RNA from Taeniopygia guttata (zebra finch), 5096 nucleotides. Lineage: Eukaryota; Metazoa; Chordata; Aves; Passeriformes; Estrildidae. The record is from Ensembl.
UUUUUUUUGGGUUUUUUUGGUUUUUUUUUUCCCUGGUGUGACUGGUCACAGAGGGAUAAAGCAUUUAGCUGAUUGCUCUGCUCUGUGGGCUGGGCAGGGAGAGCAGGGGACUCAGCCAGGAAAGGGAGCACAGUCCUGUGCCUGAUCCUGACCUCUCCAGCAGCAUCAGGAGCCCGUGGGAAGCCAAAGGCAGCCCUGCCCAGAGUGGAUGAGCUUUAUUUGGGGAUGGAUGGGGAGGCUGCUGGUUGUGCCAGGCAUGAUCGUGGCCUGGGCUUGAGCAGGGGGGCGUUUCUCAGCUGACUCCUUUUAGGAUGGGGAGUCAGAUCUCAGGUUUCUUGCCCAAGGAGUCUAUUCCAAAAUCCAAGCAUCUCUCGCUCAUGCAGCCCUCUGUCCCUGGGAGCUGUUACAUAAGAAACUGGACAGGCAGAACCAGCAAUGUUUGUCUCCAUCAGGACACAUGUAAUAAAAGAGAGAUUAUCCCAGGCAGGAGCAUGAUGUUGGCAUCAUAAUUAUCAUUGGGAACCAGAUGCAACCCUGAAAGAAGCCUGGAGCAGGAGGCAGAGUUGGCUUUGCUCUGCUGGAGACAUUUCCAGGGCAGCUCUGGACCUGCUUAAGCUUCCAGCUAUGGGCAAAAUUACCUGGAGCUACACCCUUAUCUCUCUCUUUUAAAUUUUUUCAUUGAAUCGAAACAGAAAUAUGACCCAGCAGCUUUUUGCUCUUCAGAAAUGACAUUUUGGAGCAAGUCCCAGCCAUUAAAACAGCCCAGCAGACAGAGGUUGGCCCGUGGCUGGAAUAGUCAAUCAGGGAUGCCGCAUUCCAGCCUGUCUCUUCCUGCUCCCACACAGCUGCAGAGGGUCAACAACUCCAUUAAAUUAGAGCCACAGCAGUGUGCCUAGAUUUGCAUAUUUAGAGCUCUCUCAGCAUCUUCAAAGAGCCCCGAGCUGGCCCCGCAGCGGGGCUGGUCCCUGUGUCGGAGCACCCACUCAGGAAAACAGCAAUUCUCUCCAGGGAGGAUUUGCUGCGAGGGGCGACAUGUGGGAGGCAGCUGAAUCAGGGCUUGGCCCCCCUCUCUGCCAGGGUUUGGGAAUGAAGCCGUGCACACGCAGCUCAGGGGCUCCUCAGCUGCUCCGUGCUGUGUCUCCAGCCCUGCCAAACCCCGUUUAUACCAGGUUAAGCUGCUUUUGGUGUCUGCAGCCCUGGCUGUGAGGCAGGGUCUGCCAUCAGGGCAUUCAGCUGGCAUCAGGAUCCUUCCCCGUGUGACGUCCUUGGAGAGGUUUCUCUCUCAGACUCACGUAACUGCAUCAUUCCCAAGCUGGAUGCUGUUUACAUCCCUGUUUAGCACCUUCCCAUGUUUCCAAGAAGAUGCUUUUUUCCUGGCAGGGACCUAACAGCAGGGCCCUGCAGUUUGGCAUUGCUGCAAGGUCAGCUGUGGGCUCUGAUUUCCCUUUCCCUCACCUCCUUUUUCACCACUCCUGCUGGUGCCUGUUGUUGCUGUAAGUUCCCAGCAGGACGUGGCUCUCUGGACAUAAUCUGUAUUCUCAGCACUUGCCACGUUUCCCACCUGCUGCUUCUAUUCCCCAGUGCUCCAUCUCAAGCUGCCAGGAGUGGUUUUAAUUCACCAGCAGCUCCUGAGAAGCCAGAGUGCUUCCAGCCUUUCCUCUGGAGCAGGACAUUGUGGUUUAGGAAGCUGCCAGCUGCUGCUCUUUCAAAAUAGCAAUACAGAGCUACUGUGGAGGGUGGCCAGCCCCAGCCCCAUGCUCUGAGCAGGCCCUGGAGGGGCUAAUUCUGCUCUGUGCUCUCAAGUGUUUAUAUAUGUAUAUGUAUAAAAUGAAUAACAUGCAAAUAUACAUGUAUAUAUCUUUCCUCUGGUAUAUUCCCUUUGGCCCAUCAGUGGCAGGACUGAUUCUCUCCACAGACACUCUCAGGGAGCUGGGGAAGUGGUGAAGUGAUGAAAGGAUGCUACUUCACAGCUUUUUUGGGUUCUCAGUGAUGGUUAGAGGAGCAGGCUUUGAACUCUGGCUCUGACCUGCAGUAGAUAAACACGUGCCUUUGCAGGCCUGGUGUAUCUCACUGCUCUUCUGCCUUCGAGAAAGGAGAGCAAACAAGUCUGGCAGAUGGUUUCAGCCAUGUCUGCUUGGCCAUGGCAACCUGAGAUGGGCACCAGGACCCAGGCAGGACCUCUUUUGUCCCCUCCCUCCCCGGGGCACAGCACUGCUGCUGAUUAACCUCCUCUCCUCUCCUCUCUGCGAUCUGGGGUUGGUAACUAGGUCACGGCCACUCAUGGCACACCCCCUGAAGAAAAGGGGGUCAGUGGGGGCUGCAGGAGCUUCUCUGGGAGGAGAGGGCUGGGCAGGUGGGAAGGAGCUCAGCAGUGGCAGCUCCACCCUCCAGACCCAGACCUCCAAGCAGUUUAGAGCCAGUCUGGCUUUGGGAAAAGGAGAUUCCAGCAGCCUGGCAAGGGUUGGGGCAUCCUGCUGCUUACAGGGUCUGUCCUGCCCUUGAUCCAGGCCUGGCACGAUGCUGCUGGGAGCCAGGGUGACCCCUGGAGAUGGCUGGGGACCAGAUGCCACCCACGGGGAAGAAAAAUCAUGGAGGGCAAGGCUGAGGCUGGACCAACCCCAUUGGGGGAGUUCUGGUCUCAGGGAAAGGGUGAGAGGAGGGGGAGGAGGAGGGGGAGGAGGAGGCUCAUGUCACAUCGAGUUGUUCAUGUCCAAGGUGAUGCUGCUCUGAGUUUUUUGUAGGAGAGCCAGCAGUGUUUGGUUAGGACAGCACAACCAGAGAGGAAAGGGCUGGGUAAUGACGAUUGCUGCAGGAUCAUGGAAUGGCUUGAGGUGGAAGGGAACUCACAGACCAUCUCCUUCCCUGCCCACCCAGCCUCCAGAGGCUCUCUGGGAUCACAGAGGCAGGGUGAAGGAUUGCCAUAUGCUGUUAACGGGGACACAGGGACUCCUGCUGAGCUGUUUGUCUGUGUGAUGAUGAAGACAAACCCUCCCUGUGGGAGGGUCUGGAGGCAUUCCCUGUGACACCAGCUGCCCUGAAAGACCUUUCCUGAAGGCACCAGCUCCUUCCAGCAGGGCAAGGACAGGGUCUCUGUGCCUCCAGCAGGGCAAGGACAGGGUCUCUGUGCCUCUGCGAAGCAGCAGAAGAGGGAACCACUGUGGGGACUGGCCAGGAGGGGCUGCAGAGGGGAGCAGAGGGGUUGGAGCGCUCACCCCUAGCGGAGCUGCUGCCCCGGGGGAGCCACGGGCCGGUGCCACCCGCUCCCCCCCCGCCACACCGGAGCCUCCGGGAGGUGACAGCCCACGAGGUGGCACCAGAGCCCCGCCGCAGCCCGGCACCGGCACCGAGAGGACGCGGCGGGAUCCGUGAGCAUCCUCCCGCCUCGCCUACCUGGUACCCUCCGGGCAUCCCCCAUGGGCAUCCCGGCACCCAGCGGGCAUUCCAGUCCCUGUGGACACCCCAGAGCCUGGCAGACAUCCCCAACACCCAGCAGACAUCCUGGUACCCUGCUGGCCUCCUUGGCACCUGCCACACCUCCUUGUAUCCUGUGGGUAUCACCUGGCAGGGCCCCCCCAGCACCCUCUGGGCACCCCAGCACUUGGCCCUUAAUCCCUGAGCAAAGAGGACCAAGGAGGAAGGACAGGGCUUGCUUUUCUGCAGUAUCUCUACAGGGAGAUAAAGGGUAUCCCAUGUGUCCCAGCACCUGCUGGGCAUCUUGGCACCCUCUGGGUAUCCUGGCACCCUCCGGGCAUUCUGACACACCCUCUGGGCAGCAGUAUCUCAGCAGGGAGACACUGGUGAUCUAACCUAAGUGCCAUAAGGUGGUUAGAUCACAGGGACAGCUUGGUUCCAGGGAGGAUGUUCUCCUGCAGAGUAAAGGCCGUUCCUUCCCAAAACAGCCUUACCAGCAAGAAUUGUCCCUAAACAGGCAGGGAGGCUGCUUGGCAUGUGUCACUUUGCACAAGUCCUGCGUGUUUUGCUGGGUGAUGUGCAGAGGUGCCUCAGUAGACAUCUGAAUAGUGAUGUUAAAUAGGAGAGGCUCAUUUUGACACCCAGGCACUGUAAAAUCUGCGAGCUGUCAAUAUUGUGACAGCCAAAGCCCUGGGCUGUUGUGUCCUAAAAAAGCAAUCAGUCCUCCUUCAGUGCCACUUCCUGAGGGAAACAUAUCAGAGCUCCAGCAGGGAUCAGAGUGCAAAAACACACCCGGCUCAACUCCUGCUAACGAGCAAACAGCCCUGGCUUGUCCCCAUUAUAAUCCCCCUGCCGUGAGCCCGGUCAGGGGUAUAAUGUGAUUGUUUUCAUGGCUAUUUGUGGCUACCUGAAACCCCACCACUGCUCUUCAGCACAUAAUAGCCCUGAAGAGGGACAGUUUCCAUCUCCACAUAUGAUUGUGCCCAUUACUGUAUCUAUAUUUUAUUAGUGGCUGUCGCAAUGUACAUUAAGGAGAUGCACAUUUAUCGCUGUGCUGGAUAAAGCUCAGCUUUGAAACCUCGAGGAGACAUGGCAUCAGAUUAAACGAAGUCAAAGGACAACUUCUGCCUUUUUCAAAGGCUUGAUUCUGCUUCCACAAAGGCACAAUUCUCCCUGGCUACAGAGGGAGAGGGGUUGGUACCUUGUCCACAGCUCCAUGUGGGCUGGAUGAACGCCCUGGGGAGAUGUGUCAUACUCCCCCCUCCAGCACAACGCUCAGAGGGUGAAAUCCUCAUGCCAGAGACACUCAUGCUCUAGAAGUUCUGAAUGCUGCCUAUCAACUCUACAGCUUGUCCACAGAGGUCAGGGCAUGUGGGUGCAGGUCUGUAUUCCCAGGAGCACAUCCCUAGAAACAGCUGUAAAUCCACAGUGGCACUGAGUGGGUAUUUAAACUGCCUUUCCCUGCGGGGCAUGCUGCUUUUUAGCCACCCAAUGGUCCCUUUUAGCUCUAUUCUGUUUCUUAUCCCUGGGGUUGAAGCCAAAAAUGCUCCAGCAAGGAAUCACAUUCAAACACUGCCUUUCUCAUUAACAGGAUGCUGUGGGGAGAGAUUAAAUGCUGGGCUGGAGGUUGGCUUGGCCUGGGAGCAGGCAGAGGCUGGAGGGCUUCACUGCCUGCAGCUCCCUGA